CAGUAGCCGCGGGAAUACGUAGGUGUCAAGCGUUGUCCGGAAUUAUUGGGCGUAAAGGGCUCGCAGGCGGUUUCUUAAGUCUGAUGUGAAAGCCCCCGGCUCAACCGGGGAGGGUCAUUGGAAACUGGGAAACUUGAGUGCAGAAGAGGAGAGUGGAAUUCCACGUGUAGCGGUGAAAUGCGUAGAGAUGUGGAGGAACACCAGUGGCGAAGGCGACUCCCUGGUCUGUAACUGACGCUGAGGAGCGAAAGCGUGGGGAGCGAACAGGAUUAGAUACCCCCGUAGUCCCUGUCUCUUAUAC
RNAcentral lists this ribosomal RNA (301 nucleotides) under uncultured bacterium. RNAcentral's name for it is "partial 16S ribosomal RNA". It matches the Rfam family "Bacterial small subunit ribosomal RNA", at positions 509 to 807 of the family's 1533-position model. The record is from RNAcentral.